ACUCAAAGGAAUUGACGGGGGCCCGCACAAGCGGUGGAGCAUGUGGUUCAAUUCGACGCAACGCGCAGAACCUUACCCGGACUUGACAUCCUCGGAACCUGCCAGAGAUGGCGGGGUGCUCGCAAGAGAACCGAGAGACAGGUGCUGCAUGGCUGUCGUCAGCUCGUGUCGUGAGAUGUUGGGUUAAGUCCCGCAACGAGCGCAACCCUCGCCUUUAGUUGCCAUCAUUUAGUUGGGCACUCUAGAGGGACUGCCGGUGAUAUAUCGGAGGAAGGUGGGGAUGACGUCAAGUCCUCAUGGCCUUUAUGUCCGGGGCUACACACGUGCUACAAUGGCCGGUACAAAGGGUAGCUAACUUGCGAGAGGGAGCCAAUCCCAAAAAACCGGUCUCAGUUCGGAUCGUAGUCUGCAACUCGACUGCGUGAAGGAGGAAUCGCUAGUAAUCGAAGAUCAGCACGCUUCGGUGAAUACGUUCCCGGGCCUUGUACACACCGCCCGU
Molecule: ribosomal RNA, 499 nt
Filed under: uncultured bacterium
Lineage: Bacteria
Description: partial 16S ribosomal RNA
Rfam family: Bacterial small subunit ribosomal RNA
Source: RNAcentral